UUGAUCGAAAACAAAUUCUUCAAAUGUGGGAUUCGACUGGAGACAGGAGAGUUGAAUUAGCGUUCAAUUAGAUUGAUAUUUAAAAGUUGAAGAAUAAUAAAACAUGUUAAGACAGUGAAAAAGGUUUUCAUAAUAUAUGAAACAUUAUUCGCUAAACUGUUUGAUAGAUCUGUUUUCUUCAUAUUAUAAGGUAGAUCUGUAUUAGUUUAGUAUUUCAAAAAUAAAAAUAUAAAACACAUUCUAUUAUCCAUAUGCAUAUUUUGGCUUGUAUGAGAGAGCUGUGUCUCAUUGUGUGGUUGUAAAUGUUUUCGUUCAAAAACGAUAAUUUCGUUCGGUUAAGGAAAUAUUCUGGGGAUACAUUUUCUGGCGGCCAAGUUAAAUGAGGCGUUCGAACACAAACAUUGCGUCUUGCGUUUUGUUUCGGAGAUCUUCAUUAAAGUUCAAAUUCAACACUAUUGUUGACAAGACCCAGCCCUCAACAGCCAACCCACAUUUCUAGUGCCGCGGGGAAUCGGCAAGGUUGUCUUCUGACAGACCACACACGAUAGUUCCAGAAGCUGUCAAGCAAGUCUUUCUGAACACAAACAUGGAGUUUUUCAUAAAAGCAUUGCUUCGAAUGCCAGUGGCUGCCAUGAGGGAGGGUGCACCAAGUCUUCGACGAUGACAUCAGCCAUGGCCAAAGAACAUUAUGAUGAUUAGUUAACUUGCUAUGUGACUGGUAAUUGUGUUAAUAGUUGCAACUAAUAAGGUUUACAAUUUUAACCUUACCUUAUACACUUUAAAUUAUGGCUUUUAUUGUGCCAUCCUCAAAAUAA
This is a long non-coding RNA of Dreissena polymorpha, 815 nucleotides long. RefSeq lists it as uncharacterized. The transcript has 3 exons. The record is from RefSeq and is a predicted model, not a curated record. Lineage: Eukaryota; Metazoa; Mollusca; Bivalvia; Myida; Dreissenidae.